This 271-nucleotide ribosomal RNA is filed under the name uncultured bacterium. RNAcentral describes it as "partial 16S ribosomal RNA". It matches the Rfam family "Bacterial small subunit ribosomal RNA", at positions 524 to 794 of the family's 1533-position model. The record is from RNAcentral.
UACGAAGGGGGCUAGCGUUGCUCGGAAUCACUGGGCGUAAAGCGCACGUAGGCGGCUUUCUAAGUCAGAGGUGAAAUCCCGGGGCUCAACCCCGGAACUGCCUUUGAUACUGGAAAGCUUGAGUUCGGGAGAGGUGAGUGGAACUGCGAGUGUAGAGGUGAAAUGCGUAGAUAUCCGGAGGAACACCAGUGGCGAAGGCGGCUUUCUGGACCGACACUGACGCUGAGGCGCGAAAGCUAGGGGAGCAAACGGGAUUAGAAACCCCGGUAGU